AUUCCCGUUUCUCUCUUUUCUCUUCUUCUUUCAACAUACGUGACACCCCGGUGGAACAAUGUCGGAAGUCUGUGGAUUUUCCGUAUAAGGCACGGUGGACAAGAAAGAACGAAAUACAUUUCAAUAAGGCGAUUGGAUGGAAUAACGUCGACUGGAUUGUGCAUUAUGACGUCAUAGUUGAAUAGCGUCAUAAUAAAGGAAUUGCCUAGUUUUAGUGGAGCAGGUCGUGUUUUUCAAAACAUUAUUAAAUCCAAAUAGAUCUAAUUAUAAUACGCACAAGAUGAAAAAGGCGAAAAAUCAGAAAUCGAACAGAAAAGUAAAGAAUGAAAAAUUGGUCAACACUCCAGAUGAGUCAAGCACGCCGGCAAAUGAGAUGUCUUUCGGCGAUGGUAGUUUAGUUAUAUCAGAAGUAAAUCGUAGGAAUUCACUAGACAGAGAAAUAAAGAAACAUAUACAACAAAUAGAAGAUCAUGAUAGAUGUAUUCACUAUUUGAUGGGUCUCAAUCAAAAGAUGGAUGAGAAAGUGAAGAAAUAUGAAAUUCGUUUAGCAGACGUGAAAGAAGAAACAGAAGUUAUUCAAAUCACUAACUUGGGAAUUCGAGAGAAAUUUGAAAAAUUGGACUCUGAAAACAAAGAGGCACAAAGUCUAGAUAAGAAUAUUAGAAACUUGCUCGAAGAGGAAAUAAUACUCAAAAAUGAAAUCGAAAAACUAGAACGCAUCAGACGUAUUUUAGCUGUGAAAAGUGAUGACGUUGAUGGCUUUAUGACAGAAUUGUUCCCCGAUGAAGCUUAUGGCACCGGGUUGGUUGACAUCAAAACGUUACGAUCACAAACAUGUAUUUCUGAAUGUAAAGAUAUUCAACGUACUUACAAAAAUCGCAUAGUAAUACAAGCAUUUACUGAAAAAAGAGGAAGAUUUUUUAAGCUUAGAAAGUUUUUCGCACGUGUUUUCCGGAGACGUAAUUAGACUUACACCACAAACUGGUUCUAUGUUGAAAUGAUGUUUAAAAAACAAACUAAGAUGGAAUAGUUGAAAAAGAGAACAAAUUUACAA
Molecule: long non-coding RNA, 1054 nt
Organism: Patella vulgata (common limpet)
Lineage: Eukaryota; Metazoa; Mollusca; Gastropoda; Patellidae
Exons: 4
Source: RefSeq, a predicted model, not a curated record